UACAGAACGAUGAUGAGGGAAAGUAAAUUUCGAAUAGCUUAUUCAGAGAGAAUCACCUAGGCUGAGAGUGAUUUUAAGCGUCGAUGUUGAAGUGCUCCUCUGAGUCCGUUAUGGAAUAAGAAAGUACAUAACGGCGGCAGGCUCUCCCGUUAUGAGAGUAAGAGUUGGGAGAGUUCUCCAAACAGAGUGGGACCGCGCAAAAAGCGUCUCUGUG
Molecule: non-coding RNA, 214 nt
Filed under: Virgibacillus sp.
Lineage: Bacteria; Bacillati; Bacillota; Bacilli; Caryophanales; Bacillaceae
Description: T-box sequence
Rfam family: T-box leader
About the family: Uncharged tRNA acts as the effector for transcription antitermination of genes in the T-box leader family. T-boxes are found upstream of many aminoacyl-tRNA synthetase genes and some amino acid biosynthetic genes usually in Gram-positive bacteria.
Source: RNAcentral